AGCCGCGGUAAUACCUGCAGCCCAAGUGGUGGUCGAUAUUAUUGAGUCUAAAACGUUCGUAGCCGGUUUAAUAAAUCCUUGGGUAAAUCGGGGGGCUUAACCUUCCGAAUUCCGAGGAGACUGUUAAACUUGGGACCGGGAGAGGCUAGAGGUACUUCUGGGGUAGGGGUAAAAUCCUGUAAUCCUAGAAGGACCACCGGUGGCGAAGGCGUCUAGCUAGAACGGAUCCGACGGUGAGGGACGAAGCCCUGGGGCGCAAACGGGAUUAGAUACCCCGGUAGUCCAGGGUGUAAACGCUGCAGACUUGGUGUUGGGGACCCUUCGCGGGUAUUCAGUGCCGGAGAGAAGUUGUUAAGUCUGCUACUUGGGGAGUACGUCCGCAAGGAUGAAACUUAAAGGAAUUGGCGGGGGAGCACCGCAACGGGAGGAGCGUGCGGUUUAAUUGGAUUCAACACCGGAAAACUCACCAGGGGAGACUGUUACAUGAAAGCCAGGCUAAUGACUUUGCUAGAUUUUCAGAGAGGAGGUGCAUGGCC
Molecule: ribosomal RNA, 536 nt
Filed under: uncultured archaeon
Lineage: Archaea
Description: bacterial SSU rRNA
Rfam family: Archaeal small subunit ribosomal RNA
Source: RNAcentral